AUGGAGGGCCUGGCGCAGCGCGCGGCGCUGCUGCGGGAGUCGCUCGGGAAGAGCCAGGCGGCCACCGACGCCGUCGUCUCCAUCCUCGGCUCCUUCGACAGCCGCCUCUCCGCGCUCGACGCCGCCAUGCGCCCCAUCCAGCUCCGCACCCACGCCGUCCGCACCGCCCACGAGAACAUCGACCACACCCUCCGCUCCGCCGACGUCAUCCUCACCCAGUUCGACCGCACAAGAGAGGUACUGUCUGUCCCCCCAACGAUCCAGCCCCCUCCCCUCCCUGCCCGUCGGCGACGAGAAGGGUCCGCCGGCGAGGAUGAGAGGGGGGGCGGCGGCGGCGGGCGAGAAGGGCGUGGGCGAGCAGCGGGCGGCGUGGGGCGGCGGCGGCCGAGAAGGGCGUGGGCGAGAAGGGCGUGGGUGUCGGGGCGUGGUGGAGAGGUUAGCGAGGGAGAGAGAGAAGCGUGCGAGAGAGAGGGGCGAGUGGUGGGGUACCGCGUUUGGUUAGCGACGGGGAUUUCGUUAACGAUGAUUUUCGUUAACGGAUGUUUUAAACAAUGGCAUGAUGGAUAA
RNAcentral lists this ribosomal RNA (567 nucleotides) under Triticum aestivum (bread wheat). Its description in RNAcentral is "partial small subunit ribosomal RNA". Lineage: Eukaryota; Viridiplantae; Streptophyta; Magnoliopsida; Poales; Poaceae. The record is from RNAcentral.